RNAcentral lists this ribosomal RNA (280 nucleotides) under uncultured bacterium. RNAcentral's name for it is "partial 16S ribosomal RNA". It matches the Rfam family "Bacterial small subunit ribosomal RNA", at positions 524 to 795 of the family's 1533-position model. The record is from RNAcentral.
UACGGAGGGGGUUAGCGUUGUUCGGAAUUACUGGGCGUAAAGCGCGCGUAGGCGGACUAUUAAGUCAGAGGUGAAAUCCCGGGGCUCAACCCCGGAACUGCCUUUGAUACUGGUAGUCUUGAGUUCGAGAGAGGUAAGUGGGAAUUCCGAGUGUAGAGGUGAAAUUCGUAGAUAUUCGGAGGAACACCAGUGGCGAAGGCGGACUUGACUGGCGUCGGAUACUGGCGCUGGAGGUGCGAAAGUGUGGGGAGCAAAACAGGAUUAGAUACCCCGUGUAGUC